AUCACUUUUCGGCCUUUUGGCCAAGAUCAAGUGUAGUAUCUGUUCUUGUCAGUUUUAAAUGCCACCAGGUUAAUAGUAGCCAGCAUUUACUGAGGACUCCCACAUGCCAGGACUCUAU
Ictidomys tridecemlineatus (thirteen-lined ground squirrel) is the source of this 118-nucleotide small nuclear RNA. Its record names the gene U2. It matches the Rfam family "U2 spliceosomal RNA". Rfam says of the family: U2 is a small nuclear RNA (snRNA) component of the spliceosome (involved in pre-mRNA splicing). The record is from Ensembl. NCBI's taxonomy places the organism in Eukaryota, Metazoa, Chordata, Mammalia, Rodentia, Sciuridae.